GUCUGGUUGGCUCAGUCGGUGGAGCAUGGGACUCUGGAUCUUGGGGUCAUGGGUUCAAGCCCCACGUUGGGCA
This is a transfer RNA of Felis catus (domestic cat), 73 nucleotides long. It matches the Rfam family "tRNA". From Rfam's summary of the family: Transfer RNA (tRNA) molecules are approximately 80 nucleotides in length. Lineage: Eukaryota; Metazoa; Chordata; Mammalia; Carnivora; Felidae. The record is from Rfam.